CCUCCUUUCUAAGAGUUGUUGGUGAGUUUUGUUUACAAAAUUUAUCAACUUUUUUACUUAGUAAUUUUACAGCUUACCGUCCUCGUUUCUCUUUCAAUUUGUUUAAAACUAUGAAGCCUAUCGUAUAUAUCGGGCUUGUAGCUCAGUCUGGUUAGAGCGCACCCCUGAUAAGGGUGAGGUCGGUAGUUCGAGUCUACCCAGGCCCACCAAGUUACGGUGGUUUUUUUAGGGGCUUUAGCUCAGCUGGGAGAGCACCUGCUUUGCAAGCAGGGGGUCACCGGUUCGAUCCCGGUAAGCUCCACCAAGUUUUAAGCUUUUCCAUUUACAUCGUGAAGUGACAUCAAUACUAAAAAUAAAAUUUUUUAGAGAAUUCAAUUAAUUAAUAAAGUGCAAAAACAAAAGCAAAAGUUUGUUUUUUGUACAUAGAAUAUCAAGCGUUUAAGAGCAUUUGAUGGAUGCCUUGGCACACAGAGGCGAUGAAGGACGUAGUACGUUGCGAUAAGCUUCGGGGAGUUACGAACAAACUUUGAUCCGAAAAUUCCCGA
This 545-nucleotide unclassified non-coding RNA is filed under the name uncultured Alphaproteobacteria bacterium. Its description in RNAcentral is "partial 16S-23S ribosomal RNA intergenic spacer". The stretch from base 429 to 545 matches the Rfam family "Bacterial large subunit ribosomal RNA", at positions 1 to 117 of the family's 2925-position model. The record is from RNAcentral. Lineage: Bacteria; Pseudomonadati; Pseudomonadota; Alphaproteobacteria.